RNAcentral lists this long non-coding RNA (360 nucleotides) under Elaeis guineensis (African oil palm). RNAcentral describes it as "long non-coding RNA (EGUI_LNC016759)". Lineage: Eukaryota; Viridiplantae; Streptophyta; Magnoliopsida; Arecales; Arecaceae. The record is from RNAcentral.
GGUUAUCGGGUUGUUGGAGUAUCGAGUUAUAAGAUUCAGGUUAUUGAAUAGUGGGUUAUCAGGUUGUGGGUUAUUUGGUUGUUAGGUUUUAGGUUGCGGAUUAUUAGUUGUGGAAGGAGGUUUAGCUGGGCCAGGAUUGGGGUUAGGGUUCGUUUCGAGUUAUGGUUAGGAUGAAUAAUUGGGUUAGGUCAAUUAUGAAUGGGAUUGUGUCCGAUUAGUGUUGAGAUGGCCAUUUGGGUUAGGGUUAGACUAGGGUCAGGGUUAGGUUAGGGUUAGGGUUCAGAAGUGAGGAUGUUAGUGGAGAGAGCUAGGGUUUUCGAUAGAGGUGAGGGUAGGGUUUCAGUGGCAAGUGAGAGAAAU